This 253-nucleotide ribosomal RNA is filed under the name uncultured bacterium. Its description in RNAcentral is "partial 16S ribosomal RNA". It matches the Rfam family "Bacterial small subunit ribosomal RNA", at positions 524 to 776 of the family's 1533-position model. The record is from RNAcentral.
UACGUAGGUGGCAAGCGUUGUCCGGAAUUACUGGGCGUAAAGGGCGUGUAGGCGGCGAUUUAAGUCAGACGUGAAAACUCAAGGCUUAACCAUGGGACUGCGUUUGAAACUGAAUGGCUAGAGGAUCGGAGAGGGCAGUGGAAUUCCCAGUGUAGCGGUGAAAUGCGUAGAUAUUGGGAGGAACACCAGUGGCGAAGGCGACUGCCUGGACGACACCUGACGCUGAGGCGCGAAAGCCAGGGGAGCAAACGGG